GAAGUUCGAAAGAUGAGCACGACAACACAAAUCACCAUAGUAGUACUGUCUGUGUUACUGAUUCUUGCAGUCAUAGGGAUCCUGUGUUAUAGUUUCUUAAGGAGGAGGAGAAAGUAUAUAUCAUCUCAAAAAUGUGAUGACACAAAACCGUCUGCACAGCCUCAACCCGACUCAUCUACAUUGGAUAACUCCACACCCCUGUAUGCAGAAGCUGACGUUACCCACCAGACUCACUCAGAGGAGCAGGACCUUCAUUAUUCAAUUGUUAACUUCAAGCAAUCUAACAAGACCACUCCUACUUUUAUAUAUACAUCAAAUGAAAAUGUUUAUUAUGCCACUGUGAAGUCAAAAUAACCCUUAACUACUCUUGCUGUCCACCAUAUUAUAACAAACAUGUCUUCAUGUUAAGUCCUGUGUGUUUGGAUAGUUUUAUCUUUGUAAGUUAAAGUUAAUAAAGUAAACAAAUAUUUGAAACCAUAA
Misgurnus anguillicaudatus (oriental weatherfish) is the source of this 480-nucleotide long non-coding RNA. RefSeq lists it as uncharacterized. The record is from RefSeq and is a predicted model, not a curated record. Lineage: Eukaryota; Metazoa; Chordata; Actinopteri; Cypriniformes; Cobitidae.